This 30-nucleotide non-coding RNA is filed under the name Mus musculus (house mouse). Lineage: Eukaryota; Metazoa; Chordata; Mammalia; Rodentia; Muridae. The record is from RNAcentral.
UGAACUUCGAGUGAGUAGAUUAAGCUGUGU